Molecule: small nucleolar RNA, 70 nt
Organism: Anarrhichthys ocellatus (wolf-eel)
Lineage: Eukaryota; Metazoa; Chordata; Actinopteri; Perciformes; Anarhichadidae
Product: small nucleolar RNA SNORD63
Exons: 1
Source: RefSeq, a predicted model, not a curated record
AUGCAGUGAUGACUAAAAAUGUAACACAUCAUGCUGACAACACCAUGGUGAACCAUAAACACUGAGCAUA